Dendrobium catenatum is the source of this 647-nucleotide long non-coding RNA. RefSeq lists it as uncharacterized. NCBI's taxonomy places the organism in Eukaryota, Viridiplantae, Streptophyta, Magnoliopsida, Asparagales, Orchidaceae. The record is from RefSeq and is a predicted model, not a curated record. The transcript is spliced from 2 exons.
UCUGCAGUCAAUCCCAUCGUCAAAUUCCCACCCUUCACCUUCUCCUUCUCCUUCUUGCCUAUCAACAAGCCCCGGAGCCAUUUGCUUGCCUUUCCCAUAACUCCUCCAAGGCUAGCUGCAGGUAAAGCAGCUCAUGAAGGAAGUGGAAUUGUUCUGUGGAAAGCAUGGAACAGCAGAAGGAACCAAUAGCUUAUCCCUGUUGAGCAACUGUUGGUUUUCACUAAUUAAUGCCAGCCUGGUUUCUGUAUUUAAGUGAGGGAUCAGAUCAGUUAUUAGGGGAAGAUCAAUUAUGCUAAGGGAGCAUUAAUUUUAAAGUCGUAUAAGUGGGCCAAGGGCCAUGUGGCUGAAAGUAGCAUUGAACGUGGAUUUAUCUGUGAGAAAUAGUCCAAUGCCUGCGAGCAAAAUUAGUUGGCUCCAUCUUUUUGCGUAGCAGAGGACCAUCUAUUCUUACCAGCAGAACCAGCUUUUUCUCUAUCUUUGAUCUGCUGCCGACGUCCUGAUUAUCCAAGUAGGUGAUCAAAAAAAAAAAAUUUCUUGUUUCUUAGUGUUUUUUUAUCUGCGUAUCACUUUACUAUUUUGUUCUUAUAAAGAUUUCGGCUUCGGUUGAGGGCAGCUUUCUUAAUGCUUCUUAAAAUAACUUUUUGAUA